RNAcentral lists this ribosomal RNA (213 nucleotides) under Nephroselmis pyriformis. RNAcentral's name for it is "partial Bacterial large subunit ribosomal RNA". It matches the Rfam family "Bacterial large subunit ribosomal RNA", at positions 405 to 613 of the family's 2925-position model. Lineage: Eukaryota; Viridiplantae; Chlorophyta; Nephroselmidophyceae; Nephroselmidales; Nephroselmidaceae. The record is from RNAcentral.
GUAUCAAGUAGGGCGGGACACGUGAAAUCCUGUCUGAAGAUCGGAGGACCACCUUCGAAGGCUAAGUACUCCUUACUGACCGAUAGUGAACCAGUACCGUGAGGGAAAGGUGAAAAGCACCCCGACAAGGGGAGUGAAACAGAUCCUGAAACCGGAUGCCUACAAGCAGUUGGAGCCCAAGGUCCGUCCUGGGUGACAGCGUACCUCUUGCAU